ACGAAAUCAAGCAGACACCGCACCAUUCAGGACCCAGAGUUAAGCACUUCCCCUUCUUUAGAUUGGAGCGGACACGAAUGCUCUUCAUUGUUUGAUAAUGCAUGUCGUUUAUGAGUGCCCCUUUCGUUAACACGGUUCCAAAAAGGGCUAUACAACGAACGGAGGAAACUGUGCGUGAUAAAACAGGCGACGGUGAAAGUGUACUACGUGUUUAAGCACUGUUCAUAAACACACGGAAGACAAACAAGCGCGUCGCAUAUCUUCUGCUGCCGAAGGCCAAAUGGAGAUGAGUUGGACUUGCAGGCACCUGACCUGGCCAGCAGGAGGCGCUAGCGCGUGGGGCGCUGGCACCCAGGCAGACUGGAUCCCUCUGGAUCCCACACUGGUGAGCAUUUCAGUGCUAACGGCUAAUUGUACAUCACUCUCUGGGGCUACAAGGCUAGCCAGUCCAUGAACGGUAGGGAUUGGAUUUGAUACCAGACCAUAGGGGCCCUGGCCAUUGGCUACCAAAUCAAUGCCUUAACACAGCGGUGCCCAAUCGUGUGUCACGGACGGGCGAUAGUACGCAGGUUUUCAUUCCAACCAAUCACUAACACCUGCUGAUGUCACUAAUUCGUUCCCUCCUCUCGGGUGUUAGUGAUUGGGUUGGAAUGAAAACCUGCGUACUCUUGCCCAUCUAUGACGUGAUUGGGCACCACCACCUUAACAGGAUGAGCUGUGUGUCAUUUGUCAUUUUAAAUUUUUUAAAAAUUCCACAUGUAAUUGACCGCACUGCAUCGCCUUGCUUGAUUUUUCCUGCAUUUGUGGAGUUUGAAUCUGGUCAUCCUUACAAUAUGCUUAAGUUUCAAAGAAGAGCUAUAAUUGCUUUACUGUCCUACUGUGCCUCUAGUGACAAAGCACUGCACAUUACCUGUGGAGUAGGGCUCACCUUAAAUCACCUCCAUACACUGCCUUCUGGAAGAUAAUGUCCUGCUCCCAUUGAAUUAUGGCCACUGACUUCCAAAAUUUGAUAACGUCCUUCUGAGACCUGGCAGAACAUUUUUA
Anguilla rostrata (American eel) is the source of this 1044-nucleotide long non-coding RNA. RefSeq lists it as uncharacterized. The transcript has 2 exons. Lineage: Eukaryota; Metazoa; Chordata; Actinopteri; Anguilliformes; Anguillidae. The record is from RefSeq and is a predicted model, not a curated record.